RNAcentral lists this long non-coding RNA (3619 nucleotides) under Sarcophilus harrisii (Tasmanian devil). RNAcentral describes it as "lncRNA (ENSSHAG00000030584.1)". Lineage: Eukaryota; Metazoa; Chordata; Mammalia; Dasyuromorphia; Dasyuridae. The record is from RNAcentral.
CCACUCUAAAAACCUUUUCUUUCCUCCUUUAUGUGAGAUAAUUUAUACAUUCUCCCCCUCCCUUUCCUUUCAUCCCAGUGCAUUCCUCUUUCUCACUCCUUAACUAUUUUUUAGAUAGAUAUUAUCCCUUUAUAUUCAACUCAUACCUGUGCCCUCUGUCUACACAUACUCCUAACUACCCAAAUAAUGAGAAAGUUUUUAUGAGUUACAAAUAUCAUUUUCCCAUGUAGGAAUGUAAACACUUUUACUUAUUAAGCCCCUUAUGUCCUUUCAUGGUUAUCUUUUCAAUGUUUCUUUUGAGUCUUGUAUUUGAAAAUCAAAUUUUCUAUUCAGCACCAUUCUUUUUAUCAAGAAUGCUCAAAAGUACUCUAUCUCAUUCAAUGUCCAAUUUUCUCCCUGAAGGAUUAUAUUCAGUUUUGAUGCGUUCAUGACUCUUGGUUAUAAUUCUAGCUCUUCUGCCCUUCAGAAGCUGCUAAAUCUUGCUCUAUCCUAACUGUGGCUUCAUGAGACUUGAAAUGUUUUCUUUUGGCUGUUUUGCUAAUUUUUAUUAAUAUCUACUAAUAUUCUCUCCUUGACCUGUGAGCUCUGGAAUUUGUCUAUAAUAUCCUUGGGAAUUUUCAUUUUGAGAUCUCUUUCAGCAGGCAACUGGUAGAUUCAAUUUCUAUCAGUACAAUUUCCUUGAAAAUUUCUUGAAAGAUUAUUUCUAGGUUCUUUUUUUAUAUCAUGGUUUGCAGGUAAUCCAAUAAUUUAAAAAUUCUCUCUCCUGGAACUACUUUUUAGGUCAGCUAUAAAUUUCCAAUGAGAUAUUUCACAGUGUCUUCUAUUUUUUUUUUUUUUCAGUUUUUUGGUUUUGCUUUACUGUUUGUUGAUUUCUUAUAGUUAGCUUCCAUAUGCUAAAUUCUACUUUUUAAGGAUAGUUUUUUUUCCUUCAGUGAGCUUUUUCCACUUGGCCAAUUCUACUUUUUAAUGAGUUUUGUUUUCAGUGAAUUUUUGUGCCUCUUUUUCCAUUCUGCUUUUUAAAGGCAUUCUUCUCACUGACUUUUUGUACCUCUUUUUAUUAUUUGACUUAUUCUGUUUUUUAAAGUGUCAUUUUUCUCUUCAGUAUUUUUUGUGUCUCCUUUAUCAAGGUGUUCAUGAUUUUCUUGCAUCACUUUAAUUUCUUUUUCCAUUUGAUUUUCAGAAUCCUUUUUGAGCUCUUCUAUGUUCUGAGACCAAUUCAUAUCUUUUCUUGGAGACUUCAGAUGUUAGAACCUUUGACUUUGUUAUCAUUUUCUGAGCAUGUGUUUUGAUCUUCCUUGUCACCAUAGUAAUUUUCUGUGGUCAGAAUAUUUUUCUCUUUGUGAUUUCCCCAAUCUAUUUCUUUACUUUUAACUCUUUGUGAAAGUGGAAUAACGCUUUCAGGGUGAAAGACGCAUUGUCCCAGGCUUCAGAGGUCAUGUGCAGCUGUUUUCAGACACUUCUAGGGAUCUGCAAAUUUUCAGUUCUUCCACGGUAAUAUCAUCUAAAGAGAGGUGUGUUUACUACUCUGGUCUGUGGGUGAUCAGAAGCGCUCUUUUGUGCUUGGAAACGUGCGGGUCCCCAUCGCACCGUGGUCAUAAGCUGCUGGGCUCCUGCUGCCCUCACCCCAGGACUGCCAUGUGGGACUGUGACUCGGGUCUGAGGAUGAGUCCUGCCCCCAUGCCAGUAAAGAGACCCCUGCCAUCCUUCCGACCAUCUGUGGGCUGAGCUCCAGAAGCCGCCUCUGUUGCAGCCGGUGCCGUUUCUCCACGGCCUGUGGGCCCGGACCGUGCUGGACCAGGUUCCGCUCUCACUCAGGGCUGACACCUUUCCUGCUGACCUUUCAAGCUGUCUUCUGCUGGAAAAUGCUUCUCUCUGCCCUUCUGUGGGUUCUGCCAUUCCAGGAAUUGUUCUGUCCACACUCUGGCCAAAGGCCACCAAGAGGUCGAAAUCUGACAGUUCCAAGUGAACUGGACUGAACCAGAACAAAGUACAAACUCCAGCAGCUGAAGCUCUCCAGAACACAACGCUGCCAGCAUAACAGUCUAACGUUCCCCCCUGGAAGGGCAGCCUUAGAGAGACAAGCGAGAGGGUGGGAGGCCAUUUGAGAGCUGGAGAAUGAGCUUGACUCCCAUGGCUGAACUCCUGGCCAGUUGUCUCAGCAAAACAAAGGGAUGUCAGCCACAGGUUUCCCGGAACCCCACACAGGCUGUGGCACACCUGCGAGGGGCCAUGCUUUUGCUUAACAAGUUUCAAGAAGGGGGAACCUAUUACUUCCAGAGUAGCUCUAAUUACUGAACCUAAAAUCUGUCUUUAUGUCACUCCUCUGGCCUCCCGACUAAUAACCUCUUGCUUUUAGAUUGUCUUCUAGGGCCAAGAAGAACAAGCCUCAUUCCUCUUCCAUGGGAUGGACCUUUUAAUAACUCUAAAAGUUAUCAUGUCUUUCCUAAGUCUUCACUUAUUUCUCCAAGCUAAACAUUCCCACUUCCUUCCCCCCCAGACCUUGAGACUCCAUUUUUUGACUGCCUUUCUCUAGAUACUCUUUGGUCUCCCUCCACAUCUUUCUUCAAAUGAGCCCCUCCCCAACCUCUUCCUUCCCUGUAGAUUUAUAUUCUGACCAGGCCAGAGCCCAGUGGAAUUAUGACCUCUCUCUUUUUGGACACCAUCCCUCUUAAUGCAGCCUAAGGUUACUUUAGCUUCCUAGGGCACAAUACCACAAUGUUGACUCAUACUGAGCUUCCCAGAUCUUUUUCAAAUUAGUAUGCAAUCAUGCCUCCCACAUUUCUACCAGGAAGAACAUUUUCUGAACUUGGUAUAAGAUUCUACAUUCAGCCCUUCUAGAUCAGACCCCAUUAGAUUAAGUUGAUCCAGCUGAUGAGGUUUUGGAUCUGACACUGCUGCCAAUAAAUCCUUCUCAGAUUUAUGCCAUUUGCUAAUUUCAUUGGUGUUCCUAUCAUUAAUAACAAUAUUAAUGGUAACAAUUAAUAACUAGUGUUAUGGAGCAUUUUAAGGUUUACCAGGUAUGGUACAGGUUAACUCAUUUUAUCCUCACAGCACUCUUGGGAAACGGGUGCUAUUAUUAUCCCCAUUAUACAGAUGGGGGAACUUAGGUGACUUGUCCAAGAUCUCACAGCCAAUAGGUGGCUGAGGCAAGAUUUGAAUUCGGGUCUUCCUGAUAUCAAAUUCAGUAUUCUUAUCUAUUUUACCACCUAGCUGCCUAGUAGAACAGGGUCAGUCACAUAUCCUUGUUCACUUCACUGGAGGAGGAAUCCUUCCAAGUUGAUGGAAAAAAAAAUGAGAAGGAGCUAUGAUCUAAUCAGUGUAGGCAACUCAAUGUAGAGGGAACUCCACAUUUGAACUUUUAUCCCAAAUUGAAGCCCAUCUACAAGUUGGUAGACAAGUCCUAUGGAAUUCCCUGAAGCAGAGGUUUACACACCUAGGGCCAGAUGGGGAAUCUGAAUUCAGGUGUUCUCCACUCCAAACCCAGCACUCUAUCUGCUAUGUACACUGACAUUUUCCAAGGUGACACUAAAAUAUUCUGGAGUCCAGCAAUUCAAUCAGUUCUGCAUCUCCCUAAUUACUCAGCUUACACCUAAUUUGUCUUGAAGAAAAGGUCAACUCC